This 395-nucleotide unclassified non-coding RNA is filed under the name Hevea brasiliensis (rubber tree). Lineage: Eukaryota; Viridiplantae; Streptophyta; Magnoliopsida; Malpighiales; Euphorbiaceae. The record is from RNAcentral.
AACGAAGAAGAAGAAGAAGAAGAAGAAGACCCAGCGGCAACAAUGUCUCGACAGCCAAAAGACCUCAGAAGACGGAGACGGCGGCGGAAAUCCCGAAUGGAAUCACACCAUGCAAUUUGAUCUCAAAUCCAUCUCAUUUCCUGAUCAGGGCGAUCAUCUAUUUCUCAUCUUCAAAUUACGCUGCGCAGGUUUAAUCUUUCGCAACAGAUGUAUUGGGAAAGUUCGCGUUCCAUUCAAGGACUUGAUCGACGAGUUCAACGGCGCUGUUAGGUUUGUCAGUUACCAGGUUCGAACUAGUGAUGGGAAGCCUAAUGGGGUCUUGAAUUUUUCCUAUAAGGUGAAGGGUAAGGCUGGGAAGAACGGAGAUGAUUCCCCUGCUCCGAGAGUAGACUUUC